GGUUCUUCCUGGAGCCAGGAUUUCUGCUCAGCUCUUUGCCUCAGGAAAUUAGAAGUUGUCUUCUUUCCUGUGCCUUUGGUUCUGGGGAGAACGUUGGUCAUCUCAGCAGCUGCACUAUGGAAAAUACCUACUCUGUUUCAAAGUCAAUAUAGAUUUGCUUUGUGACCAAGUGGACAAUUUUAGAGAAGAUCCCAUGAUGUGAUGAGAAGAAGGUAUAUUCUUUUGUUUUUGAGUGAACUUUUCUGUAAAUAUCCAUUAAGUAUCUUGAGUUUGAUGUGUGUAUUUGGGGCAUAAAUGUUAACAACUGAGACUUCAUUUUGAUGUAUUUCCUCUUUGAAUAUGAAAUGUCCUUCAGUUCUUUAAAUUAGUUUUAGUUAGAAGCCUAUUUUGUUAGAUAUUAAGGUAGCUAC
Mesocricetus auratus (golden hamster) is the source of this 410-nucleotide long non-coding RNA. RefSeq lists it as uncharacterized. NCBI's taxonomy places the organism in Eukaryota, Metazoa, Chordata, Mammalia, Rodentia, Cricetidae. The transcript is spliced from 3 exons. The record is from RefSeq and is a predicted model, not a curated record.